RNAcentral lists this ribosomal RNA (729 nucleotides) under uncultured bacterium. RNAcentral describes it as "bacterial SSU rRNA". It matches the Rfam family "Bacterial small subunit ribosomal RNA", at positions 39 to 763 of the family's 1533-position model. The record is from RNAcentral.
GCGGCAGGCCUAACACAUGCAAGUCGAGCGGUAGAGAGAAGCUUGCUUCUCUUGAGAGCGGCGGACGGGUGAGUAAUGCCUAGGAAUCUGCCUGGUAGUGGGGGAUAACGUUCGGAAACGGACGCUAAUACCGCAUACGUCCUACGGGAGAAAGCAGGGGACCUUCGGGCCUUGCGCUAUCAGAUGAGCCUAGGUCGGAUUAGCUAGUUGGUGAGGUAAUGGCUCACCAAGGCGACGAUCCGUAACUGGUCUGAGAGGAUGAUCAGUCACACUGGAACUGAGACACGGUCCAGACUCCUACGGGAGGCAGCAGUGGGGAAUAUUGGACAAUGGGCGAAAGCCUGAUCCAGCCAUGCCGCGUGUGUGAAGAAGGUCUUCGGAUUGUAAAGCACUUUAAGUUGGGAGGAAGGGUUGUAGAUUAAUACUCUGCAAUUUUGACGUUACCGACAGAAUAAGCACCGGCUAACUCUGUGCCAGCAGCCGCGGUAAUACAGAGGGUGCAAGCGUUAAUCGGAAUUACUGGGCGUAAAGCGCGCGUAGGUGGUUUGUUAAGUUGGAUGUGAAAUCCCCGGGCUCAACCUGGGAACUGCAUUCAAAACUGACUGACUAGAGUAUGGUAGAGGGUGGUGGAAUUUCCUGUGUAGCGGUGAAAUGCGUAGAUAUAGGAAGGAACACCAGUGGCGAAGGCGACCACCUGGACUAAUACUGACACUGAGGUGCGAAAGCGUG